RNAcentral lists this ribosomal RNA (484 nucleotides) under uncultured bacterium. Its description in RNAcentral is "partial 16S ribosomal RNA". It matches the Rfam family "Bacterial small subunit ribosomal RNA", at positions 30 to 507 of the family's 1533-position model. The record is from RNAcentral.
AUUGAGCGCUGGCGGUAGGCCUAACACAUGCAAGUCGAGCGGAUGAAGGGGGCUUGCUCCUGGAUUCAGUGGCGGACGGGUGAGUAAUGCAUAGGAAUCUGCCCGGUAGUGGGGGAUAACGUCCGGAAACGGGCGCUAAUAUCGCAUACGUCCUGAGGGAGAAAGUGGGGGAUCUUCGGACCUCACGCUAUCAGAUGAGACUAGGUCGUAGUAGCUAGUUGGUGGGGUAAAGGCCUACCAAGGCGACGAUCCGUAACUGGUCUGAGAGGAUGAUCAGUCACACUGGAACUGAGACACGGUCCAGACUCCUACGGGAGGCAGCAGUGGGGAAUAUUGGACAAUGGGCGAAAGCCUGAUCCAGCCAUGCCGCGUGAGUGAAGAAGGUCUUCGGAUUGUAAAGCACUUUAAGUUGGGAGGAAGGGCAGUAAGUUAAUACCUUGCUGUUUUGACGUUACCAACAGAAUAAGCACCGGCUAACUUCGUG